GUGAGGAAUAUUGGUCAAUGGGCGAGAGCCUGAACCAGCCAAGUCGCGUGAAGGAAGAAGGAUCUAUGGUUCGUAAACUUCUUUUGCAGGGGAAUAAAGUGCGGGACGUGUCCUGUUUUGUAUGUACCCUGAGAAUAAGGAUCGGCUAACUCCGUGCCAGCAGCCGCGGUAAUACGGAGGAUCCGAGCGUUAUCCGGAUUUAUUGGGUUUAAAGGGUGCGUAGGUGGUUUGAUAAGUCAGCGGUGAAAGUUUGCAGCUUAACUGUAAAAAUGCCGUUGAAACUGUCGGACUUGAGUGUAAAUGAGGUAGGCGGAAUGCGUGGUGUGGCGGUGAAAUGCAUAGAUAUCACGCAGAACUCCGAUUGCGAAGGCAGCUUACUAAGCUACAACUUACACUGAAGCACGAAUGCGUGGGGAUCAAACAGGAUUAGAUACCCGUGUAGUCC
This 445-nucleotide ribosomal RNA is filed under the name uncultured bacterium. RNAcentral describes it as "partial 16S ribosomal RNA". It matches the Rfam family "Bacterial small subunit ribosomal RNA", at positions 354 to 796 of the family's 1533-position model. The record is from RNAcentral.